RNAcentral lists this ribosomal RNA (769 nucleotides) under uncultured archaeon. RNAcentral describes it as "bacterial SSU rRNA". It matches the Rfam family "Archaeal small subunit ribosomal RNA", at positions 102 to 859 of the family's 1478-position model. The record is from RNAcentral.
GGACAAUCUAACUUAAGGAGGCGGAUAACCUCGGGAAACUGAGGACAAACCGCCAUAGGAGUCAAGCACUGGAAUGUCUGACUCUUAAACAAAAAAGCCUGUAUUCGGCGUUUGCCUUAAGUUGAGUCUGCGUUGGAUUAGCUUGACGGUAGGGUAAUGGCCUACCGUGGCUGCGAUCCAUACCGGCCUUGGGAGAGGGAGCCGGGAGAUGGACACUGAGACAAAGGUCCAGGCUCUACGGAGUGCAGCAGUCGCGAAACCUUCGCAAUGCGCGAAAGUGGACGAGGGAACCCCAAGUGUGCAUGUUUAACAUGCACUUUUACUAAGCGUAGAAAGCUUAGGGAAUAAGGGCUGGGUAAGACUGGUGCCAGCCUCCGCGGUAACACUAGCAGCUCAAGUGGUGAUCACGUUUACUGGGUUUAAAGCGUGCGUAGUCGGUUUGGCAAGUUUUCUGUGAAAUCCUGGCGCCUAACGUCAGGGAUUGCAGAAAAUACUACCACGCUCGAGACCGGGGGAAGAGUGAUGUAUUCUAGGGGUAGCGGUGAAAUGCUAUAAUCCCUGGAGGACCACCAGUAGCGAAGGCGUCACUCUAGAACGGGUCUGACGAUGAGGUACGAGAGCUAGAGGAGCAAACAGGAUUAGAUACCCUGGUAGUCCUAGCCGUAAACGAUGCUGAUUUAGUGUUACCUGAACCUCGUGUUCGGGUAGCGCUGAAGGGAAACCGUUAAAUCAGCCACCUGGGGAGUACGGUCGCAAGGCUGAAACUUAA